GACGAACGCUGGCGGCGUGCCUAAUACAUGCAAGUCGAGCGAAGUUUUUCUGGUGCUUGCACUAGAAAAACUUAGCGGCGAACGGGUGAGUAACACGUAAAGAACCUGCCUCAUAGACUGGGACAACUAUUGGAAACGAUAGCUAACACCGGAUAACAGCAUUAACUGCAUGGUUGAUGUUUAAAAGUUGGUUUUGCUAACACUAUGAGAUGGCUUUGCGGUGCAUUAGCUAGUUGGUGGGGUAAAGGCCUACCAAGGCGACGAUGCAUAGCCGACCUGAGAGGGUGAUCGGCCACACUGGGACUGAGACACGGCCCAGACUCCUACGGGAGGCAGCAGUAGGGAAUCUUCCGCAAUGGGCGAAAGCCUGACGGAGCAACGCCGCGUGAGUGAAGAAGGAUUUCGGUUCGUAAAGCUCUGUUGUUAGGGAAGAAUGAUUGUGUAGUAACUAUACACAAGAGAGACGGUACCUAACCA
Molecule: ribosomal RNA, 477 nt
Filed under: Gemella haemolysans
Lineage: Bacteria; Bacillati; Bacillota; Bacilli; Caryophanales; Gemellaceae
Description: bacterial SSU rRNA
Rfam family: Bacterial small subunit ribosomal RNA
Source: RNAcentral